CCCCCUUUUACAUCUCCAAUUUCAAAAACUCUAGCUAUUUUGACUCUUUUACAUAGUAAUACUACUUCCAAUCUGCAAUACUAUUUAUCUAAAACAGGGGGGUUCAAUUUUCCAUGAUGCGGUUAAAAAUACCAUAUGGAAAAAUGGCCUGGGGUCAAAAUACCAUGUGGUAUAAUGAAUAUACUAUAUGACAACGGGUACAGGAUUUUUUUGCUUUGUUGAAGACCCAUUGGUAUAGUUGGUGUCUCUUUGACAUAUUACCCAUUCCCAUUCUCUAUUUCAUUACACACAUAUCAAAAGUUCUUAAUAAUUUGUUUUUACGAU
This 324-nucleotide long non-coding RNA is filed under the name Mytilus galloprovincialis (Mediterranean mussel). Lineage: Eukaryota; Metazoa; Mollusca; Bivalvia; Mytilida; Mytilidae. The record is from RNAcentral.